AUACGUAGGUGGCAAGCGUUGUCCGGAAUUAUUAGGCGUAAAGCGCGCGCAGGUGGUUCCUUAAGUCUGAUGUGAAAGCCCCCGGCUCAACCGGGGAGGGUCAUUGGAAACUGGGGAACUUGAGUGCAGAAGAGGAUAGUGGAAUUCCAAGUGUAGCGGUGAAAUGCGUAGAGAUUUGGAGGAACACCAGUGGCGAAGGCGACUGUCUGGUCGGUAACUGACACGGAGGCGCGAAAGCGUGGGGAGCAAACAGGAUUAGAUACCCUGGUAGUCCACGCCGUAAACGAUGAGUGCUAAGUGUUGGGGGGUUUCCGCCCCUCAGUGCUGCAGCUAACGCAUUAAGCACUCCGCCUGGGGAGUACGGUCGCAAGACUGAAACUCAAAUGAAUUGACGGGG
Molecule: ribosomal RNA, 397 nt
Filed under: uncultured bacterium
Lineage: Bacteria
Description: partial 16S ribosomal RNA
Rfam family: Bacterial small subunit ribosomal RNA
Source: RNAcentral